This 790-nucleotide ribosomal RNA is filed under the name Pseudomonas aeruginosa. RNAcentral's name for it is "bacterial SSU rRNA". It matches the Rfam family "Bacterial small subunit ribosomal RNA", at positions 1 to 765 of the family's 1533-position model. Lineage: Bacteria; Pseudomonadati; Pseudomonadota; Gammaproteobacteria; Pseudomonadales; Pseudomonadaceae. The record is from RNAcentral.
AAGACCCCCGGGGGAAAGUUUUUUUGGUUUUUUUUACCAGCUCAGAUUGAACGCUGGCGGCAGGCCUAACACAUGCAAGUCGAGCGGUAGCACAGAGAGCUUGCUCUCGGGUGACGAGCGGCGGACGGGUGAGUAAUGUCUGGGAAACUGCCUGAUGGAGGGGGAUAACUACUGGAAACGGUAGCUAAUACCGCAUAACGUCGCAAGACCAAAGUGGGGGACCUUCGGGCCUCAUGCCAUCAGAUGUGCCCAGAUGGGAUUAGCUAGUAGGUGGGGUAACGGCUCACCUAGGCGACGAUCCCUAGCUGGUCUGAGAGGAUGACCAGCCACACUGGAACUGAGACACGGUCCAGACUCCUACGGGAGGCAGCAGUGGGGAAUAUUGCACAAUGGGCGCAAGCCUGAUGCAGCCAUGCCGCGUGUGUGAAGAAGGCCUUCGGGUUGUAAAGCACUUUCAGCGGGGAGGAAGGCGAUAAGGUUAAUAACCUCAUCGAUUGACGUUACCCGCAGAAGAAGCACCGGCUAACUCCGUGCCAGCAGCCGCGGUAAUACGGAGGGUGCAAGCGUUAAUCGGAAUUACUGGGCGUAAAGCGCACGCAGGCGGUCUGUCAAGUCGGAUGUGAAAUCCCCGGGCUCAACCUGGGAACUGCAUUCGAAACUGGCAGGCUAGAGUCUUGUAGAGGGGGGUAGAAUUCCAGGUGUAGCGGUGAAAUGCGUAGAGAUCUGGAGGAAUACCGGUGGCGAAGGCGGCCCCCUGGACAAAGACUGACGCUCAGUGCGAAAGAGCGCA